CGCGUAGGUGGUCUGAUAAGGGUGUGGUGAAAGCCCGGGGCUCAACCCCGGGUCGGCCGUGCCGACUGUCAGACUAGAGUGCUGUAGGGGCAGGCGGAAUUCCGGGUGUAGCGGUGGAAUGCGUAGAGAUCCGGAGGAAGACCGGUGGCGAAGGCGGCCUGCUGGGCAGUUACUGACACUGAGGCGCGACAGCGUGGGGAGCAAACAGGAUUAGAUACCCUGGUAGUCCACGCCGUAAACGAUGGGUACUAGGUGCCUGGGGGAGCGACCCCUUGGGUGCCGGCGCUAACGCAGGAAGUACCCCGCCUGGGGAGUACGGCCGCAAGGCUGAA
RNAcentral lists this ribosomal RNA (332 nucleotides) under uncultured Gemmatimonas sp. RNAcentral's name for it is "bacterial SSU rRNA". It matches the Rfam family "Bacterial small subunit ribosomal RNA", at positions 568 to 898 of the family's 1533-position model. Lineage: Bacteria; Pseudomonadati; Gemmatimonadota; Gemmatimonadia; Gemmatimonadales; Gemmatimonadaceae. The record is from RNAcentral.